GACGAACGCUGGCGGCGUGCUUAACACAUGCAAGUCGAACGGAAAGGCCCCUUUGGGGGUACUCGGGUGGCGAACGGGGGCGUAACACGUAAGUAACCUGCCCUUGACUUCGGGAUAACGUCAGGAAACUGGGGCUAAUACCGGAUAGGGAUCCUUGCUGCAUGGGGGGGGUUGGAAAGUUUCGGCGGGUUUGGAUGGACUCUCGGCUUAUCUGCUUGUUGGUGGGGUUGUGGCUUACCAAGGCUUCGUCGGGUAGCCGGCCUGAGGGGGCGACAGGCGACAUUGGGACGGAGAUGCGGCCCUGACUGCUACGGGCGCCAGCAGGGGGGAAGACUGCAGAAUGGGCGCAAGCCUGGUGAAGCAACGCCGCGUGCGGGAUGACGGCCUUCGUGUUGUAAACCGCUUUCAGCAGGGGCGAAGCUUGUGGUGACGGUACCUGCACAAGAAGCACCGGCUAACUACGUG
Molecule: ribosomal RNA, 465 nt
Filed under: uncultured bacterium
Lineage: Bacteria
Description: partial 16S ribosomal RNA
Rfam family: Bacterial small subunit ribosomal RNA
Source: RNAcentral